This is a regulatory RNA element of 54 nucleotides. It matches the Rfam family "COG3860 RNA". The record is from Rfam.
GGGUCUGCAGUUCACCCAGGCGUCGCUGCCCCGCACGGGGUGCUAAACCUGCCC